GGUUAAUACAAGUCUGACAACCAGUAAUGAAUUGUAGAUGUUCAAGAAAUUUAUAAUUCCAUUUGCAACAACAAUUCCUGCAACUGAGUCACCAGGCAAGACAGCUGCAAAAUUGUGAUGGGACAGAUUACCCAUGUUCUGGUAAGUCCUGCACUGUACCUGAGAGAAAUGUGAAGAGAAGUUCAUGAUUUUGUUGAAAAGGGGUUGAGAGGCAAGAAAAGAAUGCAGCAAGGUGAAGCAUUUCUCAGCUGUGGAGAGUAAGGAGUUGUGAAAAUGAAGAAAGGGAUUUGAUGAAGUUUGUGCCAACUGUAGAUUUGAUUUUGGGAGUUGUUUGAAGAAUGGAGGGGUUGAGAAUGAGAAAGGUAGUGAAAUUAAACAGUUUGACACUACAG
This 392-nucleotide unclassified non-coding RNA is filed under the name Hevea brasiliensis (rubber tree). The record is from RNAcentral. Lineage: Eukaryota; Viridiplantae; Streptophyta; Magnoliopsida; Malpighiales; Euphorbiaceae.